This 466-nucleotide ribosomal RNA is filed under the name uncultured bacterium. RNAcentral's name for it is "bacterial SSU rRNA". It matches the Rfam family "Bacterial small subunit ribosomal RNA", at positions 28 to 507 of the family's 1533-position model. The record is from RNAcentral.
GACGAACGCUGGCGGCGCGCCUAACACAUGCAAGUCGAACGAGAAAGAGGGAGCUUGCUCCCUUGAUCGAGUGGCGAACGGGUGAGUAACGCGUGAGUAACCUGCCCUAGAGUGGGGGACAACAGUUGGAAACGACUGCUAAUACCGCAUAAGCCCACGGUACCGCAUGGUACUGAGGGAAAAGGAUUUAUUCGCUUUAGGAUGGACUCGCGUCCAAUUAGCUAGUUGGUGAGGUAACGGCCCACCAAGGCGACGAUUGGUAGCCGGACUGAGAGGUUGAACGGCCACAUUGGGACUGAGACACGGCCCAGACUCCUACGGGAGGCAGCAGUGGGGAAUAUUGCACAAUGGGGGAAACCCUGAUGCAGCGACGCCGCGUGGAGGAAGAAGGUCUUCGGAUUGUAAACUCCUGUUGUUGAGGAAGAUAAUGACGGUACUCAACAAGGAAGUGACGGCUAACUACGUG